This 524-nucleotide long non-coding RNA is filed under the name Cyanistes caeruleus (blue tit). RNAcentral's name for it is "lncRNA (ENSCCEG00000020365.1)". The record is from RNAcentral. Lineage: Eukaryota; Metazoa; Chordata; Aves; Passeriformes; Paridae.
ACAGUUGCUGUCAUCAGUCCUCUGCUCUGCAGUCCUCUUUUUGUGCCUCCAACAUGCACAUCAAAAAAGGCUGCUGAAGAUAUGAUGCAGUCUCCUACUCUCUCUGUUUAAAAGCUGUUUUAUUGAUAGCUAUUUUAUAGUAAUAUGUCAGAUACUAAGUAUCUGUUAAGCUGACAAGGGCUGUUUUCAGCUGUCCUGAUGGUGCCUGGGGUGUAGAUGCUGGUGGCAAAGCAGGCAAAGUGACACAAGCUGUUCUCCAUGUCCAGCAGGAAGAUUUUGGUAUAAAAAGAAAUAAAUGAGAAUUAACCAAGAAGGUAAUUUUUCAGAAGUUCUGAAAUAUCACUGCUUUCAGUAUAAAAUUCUAUUUAAAUCUGUUGAAAGCACCUGAAAGGAAUUAUUGGUCCAAUUCAUCAUCCCCAGAGGUGAUUACAAGCAGCAUGCUGUGGCAGGAACUCUGUUUAUAGCCAGAAGAAGGUUCAGGAGCCUGACUGAGGAGCUCAAUUUAGGUGAGUUAUAUGAAAGGU